GACGAACGCUGGCGGCGUGCUUAACACAUGCAAGUCGAACGAUGAAGAAGAGAAACGCGAACUUCGGUUCAAAUUUCACUUCGGAUUAGUGGCAGACGGGUGAGUAACGCGUGAGCAACCAACCUCUUACAAAGGGAUAGCCUCGGGAAACCGUGAUUAAUACCAUAUGACACAUUCAUAAGGCAUCUUAAGAAUGUUAAAGCUACGGCGGUAAGAGAUGGGCUCGCGUCCCAUUAGCUAGUUGGUGAGGUAACGGCCCACCAAGGCGACGAUGGGUAACCGGCCUGAGAGGGUGAACGGUCACAUUGGAACUGAGACACGGUCCAAACUCCUACGGGAGGCAGCAGUGGGGAAUAUUGCACAAUGGAGGGAACUCUGAUGCAGCGACGCCGCGUGAGCGAUGAAGGAAUUCGUUUCGUAAAGCUCUGUUCUAUGGGAAGAAAAGGACUGUACCAUAGGAGAAAGCCCCGGCUAAAUACGUG
This 482-nucleotide ribosomal RNA is filed under the name uncultured bacterium. Its description in RNAcentral is "partial 16S ribosomal RNA". It matches the Rfam family "Bacterial small subunit ribosomal RNA", at positions 28 to 507 of the family's 1533-position model. The record is from RNAcentral.